UGGCGGCAGGCCUAACACAUGCAAGUCGAGCGGAUGAGUGGAGCUUGCUCCAUGAUUCAGCGGCGGACGGGUGAGUAAUGCCUAGGAAUCUGCCUGGUAGUGGGGGACAACGUUUCGAAAGGAACGCUAAUACCGCAUACGUCCUACGGGAGAAAGCAGGGGACCUUCGGGCCUUGCGCUAUCAGAUGAGCCUAGGUCGGAUUAGCUAGUUGGUGAGGUAAAGGCUCACCAAGGCGACGAUCCGUAACUGGUCUGAGAGGAUGAUCAGUCACACUGGAACUGAGACACGGUCCAGACUCCUACGGGAGGCAGCAGUGGGGAAUAUUGGACAAUGGGCGAAAGCCUGAUCCAGCCAUGCCGCGUGUGUGAAGAAGGUCUUCGGAUUGUAAAGCACUUUAAGUUGGGAGGAAGGGCAGUAAGUUAAUACCUUGCUGUUUUGACGUUACCGACAGAAUAAGCACCGGCUAACUUCGUGCCAGCAGCCGCGGUAAUACGAAGGGUGCAAGCGUUAAUCGGAAUUACUGGGCGUAAAGCGCGCGUAGGUGGUUCAGCAAGUUGGAUGUGAAAGCCCCGGGCUCAACCUGGGAACUGCAUCCAAAACUACUGAGCUAGAGUACGGUAGAGGGUGGUGGAAUUUCCUGUGUAGCGGUGAAAUGCGUAGAUAUAGGAAGGAACACCAGUGGCGAAGGCGACCACCUGGACUGAUACUGACACUGAGGUGCGAAAGCGUGGGGAGCAAACAGGAUUAAAUACCCUGGUAGUCCACGCCGUAAACGAUGUCGACUAGCCGUUGGGAUCCUUGAAAUCUUAGUGGCGCAGCUAACGCAUUAAGUCGACCGCCUGGGGAGUACGGCCGCAAGGUUAAAACUCAAAUGAAUUGACGGGGGCCCGCACAAGCGGUGGAGC
Molecule: ribosomal RNA, 906 nt
Filed under: Aquipseudomonas alcaligenes
Lineage: Bacteria; Pseudomonadati; Pseudomonadota; Gammaproteobacteria; Pseudomonadales; Pseudomonadaceae
Description: bacterial SSU rRNA
Rfam family: Bacterial small subunit ribosomal RNA
Source: RNAcentral